CGCGGGGUGGAGCAGCUCGGUAGCUCGGUGGGCUCAUAACCCACAGGUCGCAGGUUCAAAUCCUGUCCCCGCUA
RNAcentral lists this transfer RNA (74 nucleotides) under Nonomuraea soli. Its description in RNAcentral is "Nonomuraea sp. YIM 120770 tRNA". It matches the Rfam family "tRNA". Rfam says of the family: Transfer RNA (tRNA) molecules are approximately 80 nucleotides in length. Their secondary structure includes four short double-helical elements and three loops (D, anti-codon, and T loops). Further hydrogen bonds mediate the characteristic L-shaped molecular structure. tRNAs have two regions of fundamental functional importance: the anti-codon, which is responsible for specific mRNA codon recognition, and the 3' end, to which the tRNAs corresponding amino acid is attached (by aminoacyl-tRNA synthetases). tRNAs cope with the degeneracy of the genetic code in two manners: having more than one tRNA (with a specific anti-codon) for a particular amino acid; and 'wobble' base-pairing, i.e. permitting non-standard base-pairing at the 3rd anti-codon position. The record is from Rfam by way of RNAcentral. RNAcentral also lists the same sequence under 1 other name. Lineage: Bacteria; Bacillati; Actinomycetota; Actinomycetes; Streptosporangiales; Streptosporangiaceae.